RNAcentral lists this long non-coding RNA (288 nucleotides) under Solanum tuberosum (potato). RNAcentral's name for it is "long non-coding RNA (STUB_LNC001806)". The record is from RNAcentral. Lineage: Eukaryota; Viridiplantae; Streptophyta; Magnoliopsida; Solanales; Solanaceae.
GCAGCCAAAUUUUGAAGUGUAAAAGAGUAGCUCAAAAACCUAUGAAAAUGAACUUUAAAGUAAGCUUUUAUAGUUGAAAUAAGAGUUCUUGAAAUGUUGAGCAGGAAUUUUAAUUUACUGUUUUGAAAUUAAUCAAAAAUAACCAUUAAGGAACAAACGUUGGGAUUUAUGGAUGUACUUGGCAUUCUUCUCGUGAUUGACAUAGCCAUAGAACUAAUAUAGAGUGAACACCUCUAUCCAUAUCUAAAGAAUAAUGGAAUUUUUUUAUAAUGGAGAGAGAGAGACAGA